AAGCAGCACCUAGAAAACGAAAAAUAAAUACCGUGGGAUCGGUCGGGGUGCCCAGGGACUGCGGCAGAGGACUGACUCGCCAUUGCUUUUAGAUAAUGUAACCGAUCCCGUUAGGAGCCGCACGCUGGUUCACCCCGAGGAUCGCGGUGGGAAAUGCCGCCUUACAGGAGUCUCCUUAAAGGUUGGCGUCCAGCGCAUCCCGAGAACCCCGCCACAUUCCGAUAUGCAAGGCUUUGUUGAAAAAGAAAAAAAAUUAUACCUGGCUUUGGAGGCGCACGCUUUUAAUCCCAGCACUCCCGAGGCAGAGUCUCACUCUGGAACCCAGGCUGGCCUUGAACUGUGGCAAUUCUUCAGCUCGCUUGACCUCCUAAAUGCUGGGACUGCAGGCAGGAGGCACACACCAAGUUGUUAGUGCCUCAAAAGCGGAAGACGAAGCCAGUGUCCGUGCUGGUGUUGCGUUUAUCUGAGAAUUUGGGAGGCAGAGGCAGACGAAUCUGAGUUCAAGAGUAUAAGCGAACUUGAGAGAACCUGACAAACCUCAUGGGCAAACGCAGGUGAAGACUCUAAGUGCUCGACGUCAGUGUGACUCUAUGCACACACCAGUGUGAAGGGCUAGGUGAAGAAGAAACUAAGGGACACUGGGGUCAGUCAUUCCUCUCUGGACUGAGGUACCAGGCUCUACAAAAUGAGAUUCCAGAGUGCAAUAAAGUGAACAAAGCUUUUGUUUUUGUUUCUCUGUGUAUCCUUGGCUGUCCUGGAACUCCCUCUGUAGACCAGGUUGUCCUCACACUGAGAUCCACCUGCCUCUGCUCCCCAAGUGCUGGGACACACUGUGCCUGGCUUUCAUUUCCGUUUUUUUUUUAAAUAUUUAUUUAUUUAUUAUGUAUACAAUAUUCUGUCUGUGUGUAUGUCUGCAGGCCAGAAGAUGGCACCAGACCUCAUUACAGAUGGUUGUGAGCCACCAUGUGGUUGCCAGGAAUUGAACUCAGGACCUUUGGAAGAGCAAGCAAUACUCUUAACCACUGAGCCAUCUCUCCAGCCCCUCAUUUCCGUUUUUUAAGUUCAAGCAACAAGCUGGCUUUUUUGUUUUGUUUUACUGGAAUUAAAGUUCUUUCCAAACACUUCUCUACUUCUCAAGGCACCUUAUGAUAAACAACAAAACCAAAGGGACCAGGAGAGAUCCCCAUAAGACUCAGUCCUCAAUAAUCCAUCCCAUGUGUUAUCUUUAGAUUCAGAAUGGCUUAAGACUGAUGCA
This is a long non-coding RNA of Alexandromys fortis (reed vole), 1255 nucleotides long. RefSeq lists it as uncharacterized. NCBI's taxonomy places the organism in Eukaryota, Metazoa, Chordata, Mammalia, Rodentia, Cricetidae. The transcript has 3 exons. The record is from RefSeq and is a predicted model, not a curated record.